AUGAAUAUUCUGGCCUGGAACUGUCGAGGACUGGGGUUGGACUCGACAGUGGGCGAACUACGAGACCUGAUACGGUCCUACAACCCAGCGGUGGUGUUUUUGAGUGAGACGAAGAAGAAGGCAAGGGCGAUGGAAAGGCUAAAGUGGAGUUUGGGCUUCACCAGUGGCGUUGCGGUAGAUUGUGUAGGCCGAAGUGGUGGAUUGGCGCUAUGGUGGAGAGAUCAUAUUCAUGUCAAUGUGAGGCCAUGG
Molecule: ribosomal RNA, 249 nt
Filed under: Triticum aestivum (bread wheat)
Lineage: Eukaryota; Viridiplantae; Streptophyta; Magnoliopsida; Poales; Poaceae
Description: partial small subunit ribosomal RNA
Source: RNAcentral